Molecule: ribosomal RNA, 333 nt
Filed under: uncultured Bacillota bacterium
Lineage: Bacteria; Bacillati; Bacillota
Description: bacterial SSU rRNA
Rfam family: Bacterial small subunit ribosomal RNA
Source: RNAcentral
GACGAACGCUGGCGGCGUGCUUAACACAUGCAAGUCGAACGGAUUGUCAUUGAUAGCUUGCUAGAGAUGACAGUUAGUGGCGGACGGGUGAGUAACACGUGGAUAAUCUGCCUGACACAAUGGGAUAACACAGUGAAAACGGUGCUAAUACCAUAUACGCUCAUGACAUCGAUGAUGAUGUGAGGAAAGGGGAAACCCGGUGACAGAUGAGUCCGCGGCUGAUUAGCUAGUUGGUGGGGUAAUGGCUCACCAAGGCGACGAUCAGUAGCCGGCCUGAGAGGGUGAACGGCCACACUGGGACUGAGACACGGCCCAGACUCCUACGGGAGGCUG